This 632-nucleotide ribosomal RNA is filed under the name uncultured marine bacterium. Its description in RNAcentral is "bacterial SSU rRNA". It matches the Rfam family "Bacterial small subunit ribosomal RNA", at positions 8 to 621 of the family's 1533-position model. The record is from RNAcentral.
AGAGUUUGAUCCUGGCUCAGGAUGAACGCUGGCGGCGUGCCUAAUACAUGCAAGUCGAGCGAACUGAUUAGAAGCUUGCUUCUAUGACGUUAGCGGCGGACGGGUGAGUAACACGUGGGCAACCUGCCUGUAAGACUGGGAUAACUUCGGGAAACCGAAGCUAAUACCGGAUAGGAUCUUCUCCUUCAUGGGAGAUGAUUGAAAGAUGGUUUCGGCUAUCACUUACAGAUGGGCCCGCGGUGCAUUAGCUAGUUGGUGAGGUAACGGCUCACCAAGGCAACGAUGCAUAGCCGACCUGAGAGGGUGAUCGGCCACACUGGGACUGAGACACGGCCCAGACUCCUACGGGAGGCAGCAGUAGGGAAUCUUCCGCAAUGGACGAAAGUCUGACGGAGCAACGCCGCGUGAGUGAUGAAGGCUUUCGGGUCGUAAAACUCUGUUGUUAGGGAAGAACAAGUACGAGAGUAACUGCUCGUACCUUGACGGUACCUAACCAGAAAGCCACGGCUAACUACGUGCCAGCAGCCGCGGUAAUACGUAGGUGGCAAGCGUUAUCCGGAAUUAUUGGGCGUAAAGCGCGCGCAGGCGGUUUCUUAAGUCUGAUGUGAAAGCCCACGGCUCAACCGUGGAGG